UUUGAUCAUGGCUCGGAUUGAACUGGCGGGAUGCUUUACACAUGCAAGUCGAACGGCAGCCUGGACUUCCGAUCUGGUGGCGAGUGGCGAACGGGUGGGUAAUGUAUCCGGAACGUGCCUAAUGUGGCAGGGGAUAACUACGCGAAAAGCGUAGCUAAUACCGCAUACGCCCUUCAGGCGGGGGACCUUCGGGCCUCGCACUAUUAGAGCGGCCGAUAUAUCGGAUUAGCUAGUUGGUGGGGUAACGGCUCACCAAGGCGACGAUCCGUAGCUGGUUGAGAGGACGACCAGCCACACUGGGACUGAGACGGCCCAGACUCCGGGAGGCAGCAGUGGGAAUUUUUGGACAAUGGGGAAACUCCUGAUCCAGCCAUCCCGCGUGUGCGAUGAAGGCCUUCGGGUUGCCAAAAGCACUUUUAGCAGGAAAGAAACGGCACGGGGAUAAUACCCCGUGCAACUGACAGUACCUGCGGAAUACGCACCGGCCCAACUGCAUUGCGCUUGGCCGCGGUAAUACGUAAGGGUGCAAGCGUUAAUCGGAAUUACUGGGCGUAAAGCGUGCGCAGGCGGUUCGGAAGAAAGAUGUGGAAAUCCCAGAAGCAACUUUGGAACUGCAUUUUUAACUACCGAGCUAGAGUGUGUCAAGAGGUGGAAUUCCGCGUGUAGCAGUGAAAAUGCGUAGAUAUGGAGGAACACUGAUGGCGGGCAUACUCUGGGAUAACACUGACGCUCAUGCACGAAAGCGUGGGGAGCCAAACAGGUUAGAUACCCUGGUAGUCCACGCCCCUAAACGAUGUCAACUAGCUGUUAGGGCCUUCGGGCCUUGGUGGCGCAGCUAACGCGUGAGGAUGACCAUAUAAAGUACAGUCGCAAGAUUAAAACUCAAAAGGAAUUGACGGGGACCCGCACAAGCGGUGGAUGAUGUGGAUUAAUUCGAUGCAACGCGAAAAACCUUACCUACCCUUGACAUGUCUGGAAUCCAAAAGAAGUUGGGAGUGCUCGCAAAGAGAACCGGAACACAGGUGCUGCAUGGCUGUCGUCAGCUCGUGUCGUGAGAUGUUGGGUUAAGUCACAACGAGCGCAACCCUUGUCAUUGGUGCCCAUACGAAAAGGAGGCACUCUAAUGAGACUGCCAUUGACAAACCGGAGGGGUGGGGAUGACGUCAGAAUCCUCAUGGCCCUUAUGGGUAGAGCCGCACGUCAUACAAUGGUCGGGACAGAGGGUCGCCAACCCGCGAGGAGGCCAAUCCCAGAAACCCGAUCGUAGUCCGGAUCGCAGUCUGCAACUCGACUGCGUGAAGUCGGAAUCGCUGGUAAUCGCGGAUCAGCAUGUCGCGGUGAACCGUUCCCGGGUCUUGUACACACCUUACGUCACACCAGCCUGGGAGUGGGUUUUACCAGAAGUAGUUAGCCUAACCGUAAGGAGGCGAUUACCACGGUAGGGGAUUCAUGACUGGGGUGAAGUCGUAACAAGGUAG
RNAcentral lists this ribosomal RNA (1478 nucleotides) under uncultured Bordetella sp. RNAcentral describes it as "partial 16S-23S ribosomal RNA intergenic spacer". It matches the Rfam family "Bacterial small subunit ribosomal RNA". Lineage: Bacteria; Pseudomonadati; Pseudomonadota; Betaproteobacteria; Burkholderiales; Alcaligenaceae. The record is from RNAcentral.